Gavialis gangeticus (Gharial) is the source of this 143-nucleotide long non-coding RNA. RefSeq lists it as uncharacterized. Lineage: Eukaryota; Metazoa; Chordata; Crocodylia; Gavialidae. The record is from RefSeq and is a predicted model, not a curated record. The transcript has 3 exons.
UACCAAUCAGGGGACACGGAGGGUGAGUCUCUGGGGCCUGAUUGGUGCGGAAAGGGAAUUCCAGGCCCUCCAGUCAUCUUUUAUCCUUUCAAAACCCCCGGGCUAAAUCAUUACCAGCUAGCCCAUCACACCACCUUUGCCUU